This is a long non-coding RNA of Aethalodelphis obliquidens (Pacific white-sided dolphin), 529 nucleotides long. RefSeq lists it as uncharacterized. NCBI's taxonomy places the organism in Eukaryota, Metazoa, Chordata, Mammalia, Artiodactyla, Delphinidae. The transcript has 3 exons. The record is from RefSeq and is a predicted model, not a curated record.
ACAGUGGGGCUUUUCCUGUUUCUUGGACAGUGGGGGCUGAAAACUGAAGUUUUGUGAUGUGGACCAUCCUCUAUUUCUUGGGUCCCUAAAUUAGGUCCUAGACCCAUUUCCACUGCUAGGGGAGGUUCUCCCCCGCCACACACACACACACACACACACACACAUACACACCACCAAACAAUGCUUGGUACACCAGCUGGGUGUCCUACAAUUCAAUUCAAUUAUGACACUAUCUACCUGGAGACAGCAUCAGAUUCCACAGGUUAAGAGCUCAGUUCUCCAAGACUACUUCCCAACCCUGUCCUUCAGACACCAAUUGCAAGCUCAAAUGACCUGCGCUUUUGACUGACCACAAAUUAGAGGUUCCGGAGAUCCCCUCUAACCUAGGAUGCUAAUCUCAAGUCCAGGUUAUCACUGAUACUUCUCACUGACUGGCUAUUAUCAAUCAGAAGUUUCUGGGAAUUCCUUGGCGAUCCAGUGGUUAGGGCUCCGCGCUUCCAUUGCGGGGGGGGGGGGGGGCGAGGGCGUG